GGCUUGUUGAUUUUAAUUUCAAGUCUGACCUGCCCAAUGAUAUUUAUUUUAAUGGCCGCAGUAUAUUAACUGUGCAAAGGUAGCAUAAUCAUUAGUUUUUUAAUUGGAAGCUUGUAUGAAGGGUUUGAUGAAAAAAUUUCUGUCUCUAGAGAAAUUUAUUAGAAUUUUAUUUUUAAGUGAAAAAGCUUAAAUUUGUAUGGAAGACGAGAAGACCCUAUAGAGUUUUAUAUUUAUAUUUAAUUAAUAGAAUUAUAUUAAGUAUUUAGUUGGGGUGACAGAAAAAUUGAUAUAACUUUUUUUUUUUUGUACAUUAAUUUAUGAUUAUUUGAUCCUAGAUUUAGAUUAUAAGAAUAAACUACCUUAGGGAUAACAGCGUAAUUUUUUUUAGAGUUCUUAUCGAAAAAAAAGAUUGCGACCUCGAUGUUGGAUUAAAAUUAAUUGUUGGUGAAGAAGUUUAUAAAUUGGGUCUGUUCGACCUUUAAAAUUUUACAUGAUCUGAGUUUAAACCGGUGUGAG
RNAcentral lists this ribosomal RNA (516 nucleotides) under Trigonopterus sp. 720 AR-2022a. RNAcentral describes it as "partial large subunit ribosomal RNA". It matches the Rfam family "Bacterial large subunit ribosomal RNA", at positions 1828 to 2625 of the family's 2925-position model. The record is from RNAcentral. Lineage: Eukaryota; Metazoa; Arthropoda; Insecta; Coleoptera; Curculionidae.